CUGAGAGUUUGAUCCUGGCUCAGGACGAACGCUGGCGGCGUGCCUAAUACAUGCAAGUCGAGCGGACAGGUGGGAGCUUGCUCCCUGAUGUUAGCGGCGGACGGGUGAGUAACACGUGGGUAACCUGCCUGUAAGACUGGGAUAACUCCGGGAAACCGGGGCUAAUACCGGAUGGUUGUUUGAACCGCAUGGUUCAAACAUAAAAGGUGGCUUCGGCUACCACUUACAGAUGGACCCGCGGCGCAUUAGCUAGUUGGUGAGGUAACGGCUCACCAAGGCAACGAUGCGUAGCCGACCUGAGAGGGUGAUCGGCCACACUGGGACUGAGACACGGCCCAGACUCCUACGGGAGGCAG
Molecule: ribosomal RNA, 356 nt
Filed under: Enterococcus faecalis
Lineage: Bacteria; Bacillati; Bacillota; Bacilli; Lactobacillales; Enterococcaceae
Description: bacterial SSU rRNA
Rfam family: Bacterial small subunit ribosomal RNA
Source: RNAcentral